CUGGGUGCAGGAGAUCAAAGAGGAGGGCAAGGGACCGGCCAUCGGUGAGCAUCUGCUACCCAGCUCCAUCCCAUCUAGAGCAACCACUUUCGAUCUCCUGGCUUCUACCCCCUGCCCUGCUGGCAGGGCAUUGUGCAGCAGCCUUUCCAACCCACCUGGGUGCAGGAGAUCAAAGAGGAGGGCAAGGGACCGGCCAUCGGUGAGCAUCUGCUACCCAGCUCCAUCCCAUCUAGAGCAACCACUUUCGAUCUCCUGGCUUCUACCCCCUGCCCUGCUGGCAGGGCAUUGUGCAGCAGCCUUUCCAACCCACCUGGGUGCAGGAGAUCAAAGAGGAGGGCAAGGGACCGGCCAUCGGUGAGCAUCUGCUACCCAGCUCCAUCCCAUCUAGAGCAACCACUUUCGAUCUCCUGGCUUCUACCCCCUGCCCUGCUGGCAGGGCAUUGUGCAGCAGCCUUUCCAACCCACCUGGGUGCAGGAGAUCAAAGAGGAGGGCAAGGGACCGGCCAUCGGUGAGCAUCUGCUACCCAGCUCCAUCCCAUCUAGAGCAACCACUUUCGAUCUCCUGGCUUCUACCCCCUGCCCUGCUGGCAGGGCAUUGUGCAGCAGCCUUUCCAACC
Molecule: long non-coding RNA, 617 nt
Organism: Mauremys reevesii (Reeves's turtle)
Lineage: Eukaryota; Metazoa; Chordata; Testudines; Geoemydidae
Exons: 5
Source: RefSeq, a predicted model, not a curated record